Molecule: ribosomal RNA, 292 nt
Filed under: uncultured bacterium
Lineage: Bacteria
Description: partial 16S ribosomal RNA
Source: RNAcentral
GGACUACAGGGGUAUCUAAUCCUGUUUGCUCCCCACGCUUUCGCGUCUCAGCGUCAGUCACCGUCCAGAGGGCCGCCUUCGCCACCGGUGUUCCUCCUGAUAUCUACGCAUUUCACCGCUACACCAGGAAUUCCACCCUCCUCUCCGGGACUCGAGUCCGCCAGUAUCCAAUGCACUUCCGGGGGUGAGCCCCGGGCUUUCACAUCAGACUUAACAGACCGCCUACACGCCCUUUACGCCCAGUGAUUCCGAACAACGCUCGCACCCUCCGUAUUACCGCGGCUGCUGGCAC